UACAGAGGUCUCAAGCGUUGUUCGGAUUCAUUGGGCGUAAAGGGCGCGUAGGCGGUCGUGACAAGUCACUUGUGAAAUCUCCGGGCUUAACUCGGAGCGGCCAAGUGAUACUGUCGUGCUAGAGUGCGGAAGGGGCUACUGGAAUUCUCGGUGUAGCGGUGAAAUGCGUAGAUAUCGAGAGGAACACCUGCGGCGAAGGCGGGUUGCUGGGCUGAUACUGACGCUGAGGCGCGAAAGCCAGGGGAGCGAACGGG
This 254-nucleotide ribosomal RNA is filed under the name uncultured bacterium. RNAcentral's name for it is "partial 16S ribosomal RNA". It matches the Rfam family "Bacterial small subunit ribosomal RNA", at positions 524 to 776 of the family's 1533-position model. The record is from RNAcentral.